RNAcentral lists this ribosomal RNA (1288 nucleotides) under Salmonella enterica subsp. enterica serovar Abony. RNAcentral describes it as "partial 23S ribosomal RNA". It matches the Rfam family "Bacterial large subunit ribosomal RNA", at positions 890 to 2158 of the family's 2925-position model. The record is from RNAcentral. Lineage: Bacteria; Pseudomonadati; Pseudomonadota; Gammaproteobacteria; Enterobacterales; Enterobacteriaceae.
UCAUCUCCGGGGGUAGAGCACUGUUUCGGCUAGGGGGCCAUCCCGGCUUACCAACCCGAUGCAAACUGCGAAUACCGGAGAAUGUUAUCACGGGAGACACACGGCGGGUGCUAACGUCCGUCGUGAAGAGGGAAACAACCCAGACCGCCAGCUAAGGUCCCAAAGUCAUGGUUAAGUGGGAAACGAUGUGGGAAGGCCCAGACAGCCAGGAUGUUGGCUUAGAAGCAGCCAUCAUUUAAAGAAAGCGUAAUAGCUCACUGGUCGAGUCGGCCUGCGCGGAAGAUGUAACGGGGCUAAACCAUGCACCGAAGCUGCGGCAGCGACACUCAGGUGUUGUUGGGUAGGGGAGCGUUCUGUAAGCCUGUGAAGGUGUGUCGUGAGGCAUGCUGGAGGUAUCAGAAGUGCGAAUGCUGACAUAAGUAACGAUAAAGCGGGUGAAAAGCCCGCUCGCCGGAAGACCAAGGGUUCCUGUCCAACGUUAAUCGGGGCAGGGUGAGUCGACCCCUAAGGCGAGGCCGAAAGGCGUAGUCGAUGGGAAACGGGUUAAUAUUCCCGUACUUGGUGUUACUGCGAAGGGGGGACGGAGAAGGCUAUGUUGGCCGGGCGACGGUUGUCCCGGUUUAAGCGUGUAGGUGUGUGUUCCAGGUAAAUCCGGUUCACUUUAACACUGAGGCGUGACGACGAGGCACUACGGUGCUGAAGCAACAAAUGCCCUGCUUCCAGGAAAAGCCUCUAAGCAUCAGGUAACAUCAAAUCGUACCCCAAACCGACACAGGUGGUCAGGUAGAGAAUACCAAGGCGCUUGAGAGAACUCGGGUGAAGGAACUAGGCAAAAUGGUGCCGUAACUUCGGGAGAAGGCACGCUGACACGUAGGUGAAGUGAUUUACUCACGGAGCUGAAGUCAGUCGAAGAUACCAGCUGGCUGCAACUGUUUAUUAAAAACACAGCACUGUGCAAACACGAAAGUGGACGUAUACGGUGUGACGCCUGCCCGGUGCCGGAAGGUUAAUUGAUGGGGUCAGCGCAAGCGAAGCUCCUGAUCGAAGCCCCGGUAAACGGCGGCCGUAACUAUAACGGUCCUAAGGUAGCGAAAUUCCUUGUCGGGUAAGUUCCGACCUGCACGAAUGGCGUAAUGAUGGCCAGGCUGUCUCCACCCGAGACUCAGUGAAAUUGAACUCGCUGUGAAGAUGCAGUGUACCCGCGGCAAGACGGAAAGACCCCGUGAACCUUUACUAUAGCUUGACACUGAACAUUGAGCCUUGAUGUGUAGGAUAGGUGGGAGGCUUU